This 10673-nucleotide long non-coding RNA is filed under the name Triticum aestivum (bread wheat). RNAcentral describes it as "long non-coding RNA (TAES_LNC023561)". The record is from RNAcentral. Lineage: Eukaryota; Viridiplantae; Streptophyta; Magnoliopsida; Poales; Poaceae.
AAACAAUGGAAGACAUAGGCAUUUCCGGCUGCAAAGAAAGUAACCUUUCCAUCGAUUGAUGGCAAGACACUAAUCCGUUGAUUGCAUAUAAUAUAUAUGUAUAUGUAUAGCCGGUGCUAUAAUUCUCAUAUGCAUCCUCCUCGACCUACAUUGGUAGGUGCUUACAUACAUAUGCUCGUAUAUUCACAUAUGAGUAGAACGAGAAGUAAAACUGAGAAAGCAGAGCCGCCGACAAAUGUGACUAACAUGACAUGUAUAUCAGUUACUUCAACUUGCACUUUAGGCCUUGCCGGAUUCCUCGCAGCCUGGUGGCCUGAAGGCAAUGAAGCUGACGCAUUGCACCUGGCGCAUGUUGUCGAAGCCGAUGACGCGGACAUAUGCAUCAGGGUACUCCUUCUUAACCUCCUCCACCUCAUUGAGCACCUGUGUGGCGUCGGUGCAACCGAACAUAGGCAGUUUCCACAUUGUCCAGUAUCGACCGUCAUAGUACCCGGGGGAGCUGUUGUGCUCACGGAAGACGAAGCCAACCUUGCUGAACUCGAGGCAGGGCACCCACUUGGAGCGGAUCAAGUAGUCGACCUGCUUCAGGAGGGCCUCCGUGGAGAGGGGAGGCAAGUAAGACAGGGUCUCGAACUUCUUGAUGCCCUCAAUUGGCCACACCUGAAUAGAUGGAAUGAACACAAUUGAUCAACACUUAGUGCUUUAAGAAAGACCUAGCCAUAAGGCAAAAAUUACUCCUGAUGGUCUGUCCAUACAUUGCGGGGGGUCUCCACAAGCAAGAAAGCUCAAGGGCAGCUCUUGCUUAUGGGUAGUGUACGGGCAUUAAAAAUGAUAUUAUCUAGUACACAUUGCAAUAAAAACGAUUCCAUUCACAAAGUUUAUGAGUUAAAUAUUCCUACACAUGUGAACCUGCUUACGGACUACAUUGUGAGGUUUAGUUUGGCCUGGUAUGUGGGUUACACGUCCUAAGGAUAGCUUUGCCUAUGUGCAGUGGAAAUACCCGAUAAAUUAAUCAAUUGUGCCGACAAAAACAUUCUUGACAGCUUAGUGUCCGUAAUCCUUCGCCAAAAAAAUUCAAAAAAGAGCAUAUCCUCAGCCUCUGCAUCAAGCGAUGCACACUGUCAUUUUUAUUAUAUUAUUCAACAGAGUUUAACAUAAGAAAUACGAUUUUAAAUCAAAGCCAUCUUCGAGAUGGACAAAAUUGUUACACCUACAAAUACGAUGAUGUGCCUUGACCACGCCAUCCAUCGCAAAAAUAAUAAUUAGUUUUCGUACCUGCAUGCAUCUGAUCCUUCCGCCAUUGCUGACGCUGCUGAGGCCGGCGCUGCCGGAGCGGCGGCUGACGGGGAGGCCCGCGGUCGACUUGAGCCCCUGGAAGGGCGCGACGGUGGUGGCGGAAGAAGCCAUCACGGCUGGGGCCAUGGCGGAGUACGUAAAUUGCUAGGUGGGGAAGCGAUAGCUAGCUAGGCCACACUUGACUUGAGCCCUCCUCAUGACGCUCCAGUAUAUAUCACCAUAUGCGCAGCGCCGCUCCUUCCCAACAAGAUUUCCAAGGGGUCGUCGUCGUUUGCCUGUUGCAAGGCGCCUUAUCCCUCUGGAUCAGCGGAAGAGGGGUGGCCCUCCGAUGCAUUGCGUGCGUGUGACUGCUGUACAAACAAUACAAUAAUUUUUGGAUCGUUAGAUUAGCACCUGCCUCUCUCUCCCAUAAUCUGCCGUAGUUUUCAUCUAAGGCUCCCACUAAUUUUUUGAUUUACUUUGUUUCCAGAAAGUUACUGCUCCUGGAAAUUACUCCUCAAAUAUUUGUGUCGAGGUAAUUGCACCGGUGGCGCUUGAACUUGCCAUCGAUGUUCACUUUAAUGUCUGAACUUCAAAAUUCGUCGAACUGGUAAUAGUACAUGGCACUUUUGUUCAAAUAUGGUUCAAACCAUGUUCGGAUACGUAUGUGUUGUUGACUAGGCAUGCCAGCAUGGCGCGGGGCCCACUUGCAGUGUCGGGACAAGCUCACUUGCAAAGUAUACACUCUAUGACAAUCGGGUCCCACCUGUCAGACAGGGGUGGACACAGGAUUGGGCUUAGCCCCGGGCCCUAAGCUGGCUACAGUGCGCCUACAGUGAUGCUACAGUGCCCAUCAUGCUAUACUGAACGCAGUGUGCAGUCCUCACACCCAGGGCCCAGGCCCCCCGGCCUGGGUUCUGGAUCCGCCACUGCUGUCAGGGCACAACAGCAAAAAAAACUAGCCAUGGUUGUCAAGGCUCACUAGUAGAAAACAUACCUUUGAUCCGGAGAAUUAGUUCCGGCCGGGUAUGGACCCGGAACAAUGUGAGCAUUAGUCUCGGUUCCAACGGCUAGGAGCGGACGGGAGGCACAGCAGGCUGGGGCCCCCGCGAGCCCUUUUAGUCCCGAUUGGUAUCACCAACCGAGACUAAAGAUAUCCCUAUAUAUAGAUGUUUCGUUCAGCCCGAGUCCAAGCUUUAUCCUUCCUCUCCUCUCUGUUUCCUUCCCCUAGCUCCAGCUCAUCCUCCAUUUUUGCCAAGAUUUGUCAAGAUUUCAGGCACCCCAUCUAUCCAAGGGUUCUAAAAGGUUAGCAACUUCAUCCUUUCAUCUUUCAUUGCUAGUUUAGCUCGUUUCAUGCUCUAUAAGUAUUGUGAUUUGUGGGUUUAGUUUCGGAGUAAUUAUGUGGGAGAUUAUUUGAUUUAUAUGCAAUUUGAGCUCAAAUUAACUUCUUAGUUUGCAUAUGGUGUAGGUGUGGUUUACUUAGUGCCUUCCCGUCCCCUUACUCACCGUCGUCGAUCGCCCGCGCCAUCCCGUCACCAGCACCACCUUGGUGAGCCUCUUGUUCUUAUCCUUUUUGUAAAAAAAAAUCUUAUUUGUAUGAUUUAGAUAGUUACUUGUAUAAUUUUCUUACUUGUAUGAUUGUUUGUUAUAUAUAGUGUCAUGGUUUUGAUAUCCGUCCCCGUCGGCCCUCGUCCGGUUUAUGAUUCGGAUGUGGUAUAUUAUCUUUUAUAACUAUUUAUUUUAUUUCGUGUUUAUGACAAUUAUGCCCAUCAAGUUGACAUAUAUAUUUUUAUCUAGGAGGUAUGUGAACUGUAAAUUGCAACCGACCCUCUUGUUAAGAAGUUAAAUUUAGUUUAAAAAGAAAACGAUUAUUUGAAACAAAACUUGAAAAGAAUUAAAGAAGAGAAGAUGAAAUUGGAGUUGUAUAUUGUUGAUGUCAUCGAUGAUCACAAGAUCAAGAUGGAUGCAAUGCGCUUGAAGAUUAAAAAGAUUAGAAAAUAUGUCGUUAAUAAAGAGCCUUGGUAUCAUUAUGUUGUCGGAUCAAUUAUUACCUUAGUUGCGAUUUUGAUCGCAUUUGUUGUUGCAUUUAAAUGCUUUAGCUAGAUAGUUGUAUGUCGUUUUAUGAGAAGUAUGUAUGAACUUUAUGUAUGAACUUGUAUUAAUUUGGUCACUUCGAUGUUGUGUAAUGAAGAUGAGUCGGCAAUGGAUGUAUGAUGACCAACGCUCUCGUGAGUUCAUUAAUGGCGUGCAUAGUUUUCUGCGUGUGGCUGAGGCAAACAAGCGGAAUGGUUUUAUGUGUUGUCCAUGUGGUGUCUGUAAGAAUGAUAGGGAUUACUCUACCUCAAAAAUCCUUCACAGCCACCUACUUCAGUCCAGAUUCAUGUCUGGCUAUAACUGUUGGACCAAGCACGGAGAAAGAGGAGUUAUAAUGGAAGACAAUGAAGAAGAAGAGGAUGAUGACAACUAUCCUAGGUUCCCUGAAUGUGAUGGUAUGGGGGAAGCUGAAGAAGAGGCAUCAGAUGUGCCCGCUGAUGAUCUUGGUCGGGCCAUUGCUGAUGCAAAGAGAAACUACGAAAGUGAAAAGGAGAGGUUGAAGUUGGAGCGCAUGUUAGAGGAUCACAAAAAAUUGGUAUACCCAAAUUGUGAAGAUGACAAGAAAAAGUUGCAUACCACACUGGAAUUGCUGCAAUGGAAGGCAGAAAAUGGUGUAUCUUGCAAGGUAUUCGAAAAGUUGUUGAAAAUGUUAAAGAAGAUGCUACCAAAGGAUAACGAAUUGCCUGACAGUACGUACGGAGCAAAGAGGGUUGUCUACCCUCUAGGAUUAGAGGUGCAGAAGAUACAUGCAUGCCCUAAUGACUGCAUCCUCUACCGCGGUGAGGACUAUGAGAAUUUGAAUGCAUGCCUGGUAUGUGGUGCAUUGCGCUAUAAGAUUAGCCAUGAUGACCCUAAACAAAGAGCAUGCAAAGUUGUUGCGAUGGCACAAAGAAGACCGUAAGAAAGACGGGAUGUUGAGAGUACCCGUUGAUAGGUUGCAGUGGAGAAAAAUUGAGAGAAAGUGGAUGGAGUUUGCAGAUGACACAAGGAACUUAUGGUUUAGUAUAAGUACAGAUGGCACCAAUCCUUUUGGGGAGUAGAGCAGUAGUCAUAGCACCUGGCAUGUGACUCUAUGUAUCUAUAACCUUCCUCCUCGAUUGUGCAUGAAGCGGAUGUUCAUUAUGAUGUUAGUUCUCAUCCAAGGCCCUAAGCAACCCGGCAACGACAUUGAUGUGUACCUAAGGCCAUUAGUUGAAGAACUUUUACAGUUGUGGGAUAUAAAAGAUGUACGUGUGUGGGAUGAGCACAAACAGGAGGAAUUUGACCUACGAGCGUUGUUGUUUGUAAUGAUCAAUGAUUGGCAUGCUUUUAGUAACCUUUCAGGACAGACAAACAAGGGAUACAAUGUAUGCAUGCACUGUUUAGAUGAGACUGGAAGUAUAUAUUUGGAUAAAUGUAAGAAGAAUGUGUACCUGGGACAUCGUCGAUUUCUUCUGAUCGGGCAUCUCUUAAGAAAGAAAGGCAAGCAUUUCAAAGGUGAGGCGGAUCACCAGAAGAAGCCUGACCACCGUACUGGUGAUGAUAUAUUUGAUAUCGUCAAGGAUUUAAAAGUAAUCUUUGGAAAGGGUCAUGGCGGACAAUCUGUUUCGAAUGACGCUAACGGACACACACCCAUGUGGAAGAAGAAAUCUAUAUUUUGGGACCUACCCUACUGGAAAGUCCUAGAGGUCCGCUCUGCAAUCGACGUGAUUCACGUGACGAAGAAUCUUUGCGUGAACCAGAAGAUAAAAGAUACACCGGAGGCAUGGGAGGACCUGCAACGUAUGAACGAAAAAGAAGGCAUGCAUCCAAAGCAGUAUCAAGGUCCUGCCAGCUACACUCUUACCAAAGAAGAGAAGGAAAUCUAUUUUGAAUGCCUGAGCAGUAUGAAGGUCCCGUCUGGCUUCUCUUCGAAUAUAAAGGGAACAAUAAAUAUGGCAGAGAAAAAAUUCCAAAACCUAAAGUCUCAUGACUGCCACAUGAUUAUGAUGCAAUUACUUUCGGUUGCAUUGAGGGAGCUUCUACCGGAAAAUGUUCGAUUAGCCAUUGUGAAGUAUGUGCAUUCCUCAAUGCAAUUUCUCGGAAGAUAAUCGAUCCAGAAAUCAUACCAAGGUUACAGAAUGAUUUGGUCCAAUGUCUUGUUAGUUUUGAGUUGGUGUUCCCACCAUCCUUCUUCAAUAUUAUGACGCACGUCCUAGUUCACCUAGUCGAAGAGAUUACCAUUCUGGGUCCUGUAUUUCUACACAAUAUGUUCCCUUUGAGAUGUUCAUGGGAGUCUUAAAAAAUUAUGUUCAUAACCAUGCUAGGCCAGAAGGAAGCGUCUCCAAGGGCCAUGAAACAAAGGAGGUUAUUGAGUUUUGUGUUAACUUUAUUCCUGACCUUAAGCCGAUUGGUGUUUCUCAAUCGCGACAUGAGGGGAGACUGAGUGGAAAAGGCACGCUAGGAAAGGAUUCAGUAAUAAGUAUGGACGGGCAUUCUUUCACUCAAGCGCUCUACAUAGUUCUACAAAAUUCUACCUUGAUGGCUCCGUAUAUCGAGGAACACAUGGAUAUUGUACGCUCCAAGAACCCGGAGCAGUCUGACCCCUGGAUUAAACGUACACACAUGGCAACUUUCGGCUAUUGGUUGCAAACACAUCUCAUGAAUAACACCACUAUUGGAGAUGAGAUGUACUUGCUGGCCAAGUCAACAUCUUCGACUAUAUUGACUUUCAAAGGGUACGGGAUAAAUGGGAAUACAUUUUACACGAUCGCCCAAGAUAAAACGAGCACCAACCAAAUAGUGGUGUCCGCUUUGAUGCAACAAACAACAAUAGGAAAAAGGACACAUAUUAUGGUUACAUAGAGGAGAUAUGGGAAAUUGACUAUGGACCUUCUUUUAAGGUCCCUUUGUUUCGGUGCAAAUGGGUCAAUCUGACAGGAGGCGAGGUAAAGGUAGACCCGCAGUAUGGAAUGACAACAGUGGAUCUCAACAAUCUUGGGUACACAAACGAACCAUUCGUCCUAGCCAAUUUUGUGGCACAGGUUUUCUAUGUGAAGGACAUAUCUACCAAACCGAGAAAAAGAAAAGAUAAGGAAGUGAAUACAUCAUACGAUGAGCAAAAGAGCCACAUAGUUCUUUCAGGGAAAAGAAACAUCGUGGGAGUGGAGGACAAGACAAACAUGUCAGAAGAUUAUGAAAAGUUUGAUGAAAUUCCUCCCUUCACAGUGAAGACUGGCCCAAGCAUCAUGUUAAAUGAUGAAGAUUCUCCAUGGUUACGGCGCAAUCAUAAGCAAGGGACACACGUGAAGAAAAAAAUUUAUACCCCAAGAUCCCACUCUAGGAUGUAACCGGCUUCACCGUCAUCACUUUCUCUCUAGUGAAUUUCCGGACUUAUAUUUGUAAAGUCUCACUUCGGACAAACCGGAGGGAAUCUUUGUAAGAGUUAGGGUAUAUAUGUGUUUUGGGUGUUCCUAGGUGGACUCCGGAGCAUCAGAAUCCAACCAAAAAGCUAGGGCAUUUUGGCAUUUGAAACAUGAUUUUGGAAUAAUUAUUUAAUAAGUUAUGAAUUUUCAAUUAUUCAUGUCCUAUUAGUAUUUAAAUUAUACAGAGGAGUUAAUCAAUGCAAUUAUUAAGCUAUGGAAGAGAGAGAGUUACUGGAGGUAGAAUAUGACUAGGGUGAGCUCUAGUAAAAAUUUGAGCUAAAGGAGAAUCCAUUUGGUACCCCAAUCAUUGACCGCAAGAUUUUGGCAGAAGGUGUUUGAUGAUGAAUAGAGGUACUUAGAGUAAUCCAAUGGCUUUGGAAUUUAAUAAGAAUGACCUUGGUAUCCAUUUGAGCUAGGGUGCAAAUUUGUAGCUCAUUUAAAGAAACUUGGCAAUGUAAAUAUUUCAAACCCUAGCACCGGGACUAAAUGGUUUUGACAAGCUUUGAUCAAGUUAACUUGUUCUCCAACUUGUGCCAUUUGAUGGGGGUGAUGCUCAUGACCAUCUGGCAAUGUGGUAAAAAUUUGAGAUCAAUGGGAGAAAGUUGCGAUGUAACUUUGUCAAACCCUAGAAAUGGGCAGAAUUGGUUUUGGCAUACUUUGACCAAUCUAAUUUAUUCUCCUUGAUGCACCACUUGGCCUAGAUGAAUAUUUAGACCAUUUUAGCAAUUGUACCAAGUUUGAGCUCAUUCAGACAUGUUUAGCAAUGUAAAGUUGCUCAAACUAGAAAAUGUACAGAGAUGGAUUUGAGGGAAUUUGAUGAUGUUAUCUUAUUCUCCAAGACAUGAUACUUAUAAAGAUCAUCAAAUAUAGUAUUAGUGACAUGCUACCAUUUUCUUGGAUUUAUGGUGAAUAUUUCCUUUGUAAAUAUUUCAAGAAUUAAUUUCAAUCUGUAAAGUUGUAUCUGUCAAAUAAUUUCUUCAAAAUGAAAAUUAAAACUCCUCAUGUUGACUAACAGACACAUAAUAUAAUUUGGCAAAAGAAUAACACGAAAACAUAAACUAAAACAAUUAAAACAAAUGAAAAGGUAUAAAACUAAAGGAGCUAAACCGGAUAUGUUUUUGAUUAAAAUACCUAUUUAAAAUAUCCUAAAGAUUAUCAAAUUGAACAUACUGAUAAAACACACUAAUAUUAAACAGCAGGAAAAAGAAUCACUCAAAAAUCUAUUUUAAAACUAAAGUUAAUCACAAACUAGUGAUUGACACAAAUUUCAAAGAAUUCAGCACGUAGUACAAACUAUAUUGAGUUGGCUUUAGAUAUGGCUGGUUGUGUUGGGUGCAUAAGCAUUGGGUUCUCAAAGAGAAUUCAGUGAUAUAAAUAAGUUUUAUGGCAUCAAUUUAAUUUAUUUUAUAAUGAUUGUUUUAGGUCAUCAAACAUAACCGAAUAAUCUUAAGAAAGUGUUAUGGAAUCCCUUCUAACUAUGUAACUAUUACAUGUGAAGUGAAAUGCAAGAAAAAGAUAUAAGAACAAUAUUAUUAUUUUUGAAUAAUUUAGAUGCAAGCAAUAUAUGGAGGAGGUACAUUGAUAAAUCAUAGCUAGAGUUGCAUAAUGUAAAUUUUUGCACAACUGUGCUUCUAAACCACAUCGUAAAAACAAGUGUUUGCAAGAACCAUAUCUGAAAAGGUAUAAGUUCAAUAAAAAGGGAAUAAUAAUAAUUGCCCGCACCUAGUUCAUAGCAAUGAAUAAAAUCCUUCCUAAUUAAACACCAACACAAUAUAUGGAAGAAGCAUAAAGAACAUGUAGAAGGUACAUUUUCCUGUCAAUAGAGCUUUAGAAUUAACUUUAAUGAAACAUUCAUGUUUUCAGAAGAGUGUGAUGUGCAUAUAUCUGCCCAUGAAAAACAAGAAGUUUCGUAGAAAAAUUGACCAUCUUUCAAGAAAAACACUACUUUUAUGAGAGCAUUCUGGCAUGCAAAAUUGGUUUUCUUGUAAAUGAUAACUAGAAAGUUCUAAAACUCCAGGUCAUUCUCUAGCGGCACUACUUUCAGUUUUCCAUUCCAAUUGGAUCCACAACAACAUUGAUCCGAAUUUUGUAGGAACACUUAUAUUGUUGAAUUGAACUUGAUAUCAAAUCAGUGUUUAGUUUAUAAAUAAUCUCUAUAAGUGAUACAUCUUUCAGUAUAAAUACAUUUUUCUCAAGACUACUUGGUGAAAAAAUAGCAGACACCAAAUGAAAUGUAUAAUUUUGUCAUUGGAAAAUCAAAAUGAAUGCCACGGGAAGACCCCCAAACUGUAAUAUUAAGAUCACCAUUGACUAUCCAAAUCUAAGGCUACCGCAUUCAUUAUAAAUAAAUUCUUUUCCAUGAAACUAAACCAUGCCAAGACUAAAAUUCAUGAAGGAAAGUCAUCCAUAGUAUUAUGUUUCAUUAUAUGAUACGCUAGUUAUUUCGUCAUUUAAAGUGAUGAUAUGGCUCCAUCGUGGUAUUAGAUGUGGCCUUUCCUAUGACGAUGUGGUAUCAUCAUUUUUUCUAAUCUAAUAAAAAGUCUUACAUAUUGGUCUCACAAUCCGAAAACUCUCCUUUGCACGCGCGCGUUGGACGGGUGAAGCGCUCCGCACAAGAAAUCAGGUUCCGACCACGCGCUAUAUUCCUUUCCAAACUUUGGCGUGCCAUUUAACUGAGAAUGGUAGCCCCACAUAGUAUAGCAGCCCACUGCCAUGGAACUAAAUGUGUUGGGCUCACCCCACCUGUUACGCGCAUUCACGGAAGGGCUAGUUGUGGUGGCAUCAUGGUUUUCACUUUCAGUGAGAUGUCUUUGAUUUCACUGAAUUUCAGGAAUUCAAUAGACACGAAAAUAUUUACCUUUCGUUCAGAAUAUUUCAGUCAUUUCAGUUGUACACGUGAAAUCAAAUAUUUUUCAAGAUAUUUUCAAAUAUGUUUUUGAAUUUCAAGUGAAUAUUUUGGUCUUUUGGCCAAAUGCAAACCGAAAUUAAAGAAUUUUAGUAAUUUUGGUAGGUACUGAAACAACAAUAGGGUUUUUGCCUGAAUAUGAAUUUUGUCAUGAAACAUAUAGGGUUUUUGCCUCCUAGGUAGGUUUUAUAGCAAAAUUGAUAUUUUCGUCAUGGAAGGACCUAUGUUUAUGACACAAACACAAAACAUCACAGAUAAUUCUUCGUAGAAGGCCAAAACUUUACUAGUAGAAGAUAUCUUGGGACUCGUCAAUUGGGUAUGUAAUUUGCACAUAUUUGUGUCCCUCUACACGUUCUCUGGUUUACUGGAAUUUCUGUAAUACUGCAAGAAAAAGUAUCUAAUUGCGGUGUAAAAUGGUUAGAAAAGGUGACAUGUCUUUGAUGAAUCGAUGUUGGAAUAUGGCUCACAAGACAAGUGCACUAUGGUAGGUUUGUCCUUGUCUUGUUUUGACACCUUUUGCUUGUCCUUUUUCCUAGUUUUUAAUUUGGAUUUUGGCAUUUUAUCAUCUGGUUCUCGUCAAUUUCCUACUGUGUUGCCACUAGUUUUCAAGGGGUUCUCACCAUCUUUUUAUGUGUUUCUCCACAAUAUAUUCUUAAGUACUUUGGUAUUCCAUAACAAUUUUCGCACUAGAUAGUACACAACAUAUGAUUGAGCAAAAAAUGCAUGAGAAGAAAACAAUGCAAGACAUAGGCGUUUCCAACUGCAAACAAAGUAACAUUUCCAUCAAUUGAUGGCAAGACAAUAAUUCACGGAUUGCAUAUAAUAUAUGUGUGUAUGUAUAGCCAGUGUUGUAAUUCUCAUAUGCAUCGUCCUCGACCUACGUUGGUAGGUGCUUACAUACAUAUGCUCAUAUAUUCACAUAUGAGUAGAACGAGAAGUAAAACCGAGAAAGCAGAGCUGCCGACAAAUGUGAACUAACAUGGCAUGUAUAUGUGUUACUUCAACUUGCACUUUAG